RNAcentral lists this ribosomal RNA (906 nucleotides) under uncultured archaeon. Its description in RNAcentral is "bacterial SSU rRNA". It matches the Rfam family "Archaeal small subunit ribosomal RNA", at positions 21 to 903 of the family's 1478-position model. The record is from RNAcentral.
CCCUACUGCUAUUGGGAUGGGACUAAGACAUGCUAGUCGAGCGCCUUUGAGCUAUGGUGAAGGCGCGGCGUACAGCUCAGUAACACGUGGCUAACCUGCCCUUGGGACAGGAACAAUCCCGGGAAACUGGGGCUAAUUCCUGAUAGGUGAGUUCCUCUGGAAUGAGUUCUCGCUGAAAAGAAGUUUAGAACAUGCUUCUUUACUUUGCCCAAGGAUGGGGCCACGGCCGAUCAGGUUGUUGGUGAGGUAAUGGCUCACCAAGCCUUUGACCGGUACGGGCCGUGAGAGCGGAAGCCCGGAGAUGGGUGCUGAGACAAGAACCCAGGCCCUACGGGGCGCAGCAGUCGCGAAACCUCCGCAAUGCACGAAAGUGUGACGGGGCUAUCCCAAGUGCUGUCCGAUAAGGAUGGCUUUUCCCUAGUGUACAAAGCUGGGGGAAUAAGGAGAGGGCAAGACUGGUGUCAGCCGCCGCGGUAAUACCAGCUCUCCGAGUGGUGGGGACGUUUAUUGGGCCUAAAGCAUUCGUAGCUGGCUAGGUAAGUCCUUCGUUAAAUCCAACGAUUCAAUCGUUGGACUGCGGGAGAUACUGUUGGGCUAGGGGGCGGGAGAGGCCGACGGUAUUCUCGGGGUAGGGGUAAAAUCCUAUAAUCCCGGGAGGACCACCAGUGGCGAAGGCGGUCGGCUAGAACGCGCUCGACGGUGAGGGACGAAAGCUGGGGGAGCGAACCGGAUUAGAUACCCGGGUAGUCCCAGCUGUAAACGAUGCGGGCUAGGUGUUGGGGCGGCUACGGGCCGCUUCAGUGCCGCAGGGAAACCAUUAAGUCCGCCGCCUGGGGAGUACGGCCGCAAGGCUGAAACUUAAAGGAAUUGGCGGGGGAGCACCACAAGGCGUGAAGCUUGCGGUUU